RNAcentral lists this ribosomal RNA (387 nucleotides) under uncultured bacterium. RNAcentral's name for it is "bacterial SSU rRNA". It matches the Rfam family "Bacterial small subunit ribosomal RNA", at positions 29 to 416 of the family's 1533-position model. The record is from RNAcentral.
AUUGAACGCUGGCGGCGUGCCUAACACAUGCAAGUCGAGCGGUAACAGGUGUAGCAAUACAUGCUGACGAGCGGCGAACGGGUGAGUAAUGCUUCGGAAUCUACCCAAUGGUGGGGAAUAACCAGCCGAAAGGUUGGCUAAUACCGCAUACGUCCCACGGGAGAAAGCAGGGGAUCGCAAGACCUUGCGCCAAUGGAUGAGCCGAAGUCGGAUUAGCUAGUUGGAGGGUAACGGCCUACCAAGGCGACGAUCCGUAGCUGGUCUGAGAGGACGACCAGCCACACUGGGACUGAGACACGGCCCAGACUCCUACGGGAGGCAGCAGUGGGGAAUAUUGGACAAUGGGGGAAACCCUGAUCCAGCGACGCCGCGUGUGUGAAGAAGGCC